GAUGAACGCUGACAGAAUGCUUAACACAUGCAAGUCGAUGGGGAAGUGGUGCUUGCACCAUGGUAACCAUGGCGGACGGGUGAGUAACGCGUAAGGAACUUGCCUGCGGGACCGGGAUAACAGCAGGAAACUGCUGACAAGACCGGAUAAGGUCAUUAAGCCGCAUAGCUUGGUGAUGAAAGGAGACGCCUGCGGAGAGCCUUGCGUCCUAUUAGCUAGUUGGAGGGGUAACGGCCCACCAAGGCGAAGAUAGGUAGCCGGCCUGAGAGGGUGGACGGCCACAAGGGGACUGAGAUACGGCCCUUACUCCUACGGGAGGCAGCAGUGGGGAAUAUUGGACAAUGGGGGCAACCCUGAUCCAGCAAUUCUGUGUGCACGAAGACGGUUUUCGGAUUGUAAAGUGCUUUCAGCGAGGAGGAAAGGUUGAUGCCUAAUACGUAUCAACUGUGACGUUACUCGCAGAAGAAGCACCGGCUAACUCCGUGCCAGCAGCCGCGGUAAUACGGAGGGUGCGAGCGUUAAUCGGAAUUACUGGGCGUAAAGCGCACGCAGGCGGUUUGUUAAGUCAGAUGUGAAAUCCCCGCGCUUAACGUGAGAACUGCAUUUGAAACUGGCAAGCUAGAGUCUUGUAGAGGGGGGUAGAAUUCCAGGUGUAGCGGUGAAAUGCGUAGAGAUCUGGAGGAAUACCGGUGGCGAAGGCGGCCCCCUGGACAAAGACUGACGCUCAGGUGCGAAAGCGUGGGGAGCAAACAGG
RNAcentral lists this ribosomal RNA (754 nucleotides) under uncultured Fusobacterium sp. RNAcentral describes it as "bacterial SSU rRNA". It matches the Rfam family "Bacterial small subunit ribosomal RNA", at positions 28 to 776 of the family's 1533-position model. The record is from RNAcentral. Lineage: Bacteria; Fusobacteriati; Fusobacteriota; Fusobacteriia; Fusobacteriales; Fusobacteriaceae.